GCAGGGAAUCUUGCACAAUGGGCGAAAGCCUGAUGCAGCGACGCCGCGUGAGGGAUGAAGGCUCUAGGGUCGUAAACCUCUUUUCUCAGGGAAGAGCAAGGACGGUACCUGAGGAAUAAGCCACGGCUAACUACGUGCCAGCAGCCGCGGUAAUACGUAGGUGGCAAACGUUGUCCGGAAUUACUGGGCGUAAAGGGCCCGUAGGCGGACCAACAAGUCGUUUGUGAAAUCUCCCGGCUCAACCGGGAGUGGUCGAGCGAAACUGUUGGACUUGAGGAUGUCAGAGGAAGACGGAAUUCCCGGUGUAGUGGUGAAAUGCGUAGAUAUCGGGAGGAACACCAGUGGCGAAAGCGGUCUUCUGGGGCAUUUCUGACGCUGAGGGGCGAAAGCGUGGGGAGCAAACCGG
RNAcentral lists this ribosomal RNA (406 nucleotides) under uncultured bacterium. Its description in RNAcentral is "bacterial SSU rRNA". It matches the Rfam family "Bacterial small subunit ribosomal RNA", at positions 354 to 776 of the family's 1533-position model. The record is from RNAcentral.